UCAGUGUGUCAGUCACACCGGGAUUCAUUCACUGAGUUCCGGGAGCAAGGCAGCUUUUCAAGGCUGGGCACUAAACAGGGGGAGCUUUGUGAGUGCCUAGACUCCUCUGCCGGCCACCUGCUCUUCCUCUCCUUGGCUUCCACGAAGAAAGCUGCAUGAGAGCAGUGAAUUGCUUUGUCCAAUGCUAAUCAUUAAAGCUUAGAAUACUGCUUGUUACAUGGGCCAGAAGUCAAGAAUAGGAGAGCAGCAGAAAACCACUAAAUAUGACAGCCAGCUUCACAUGGUUAGGUGGAAACAUCAUUGAUGCAGGAUUUCUCUUUGUCUCCUUACCAGUUGGGGACCUCUGGCUGGUGAUGUUACCUGCCACAGGAUGUGCCCUGCCCAAUCGGCUUGCCAAGUCUAGCUUGUGCACUGGUUCCUGAGUUCUUGUCCUGUGCCCAAGAAGAAUGAGGAUGUGCUGACCAUUGAAGGAGUCUUGCUCUGUUGACCAGGCUGGAAUGCUGUGGUGUGAUCUCACCUCAUUUCAACCUCCACCUCCCAGGUUCAAGCGAUUCUCCUGCCUUAGCCUCCCGAGUAGCUGAGACUACAGAGCCACCUCUUAGUUGGACUAUUUCACUGCAACAGUCCCCUUCAGCUGGUGACAGUCUCU
Molecule: non-coding RNA, 649 nt
Filed under: Pan troglodytes (chimpanzee)
Lineage: Eukaryota; Metazoa; Chordata; Mammalia; Primates; Hominidae
Source: RNAcentral